Paramuricea clavata is the source of this 313-nucleotide non-coding RNA. NCBI's taxonomy places the organism in Eukaryota, Metazoa, Cnidaria, Anthozoa, Malacalcyonacea, Plexauridae. The record is from the annotation of a GenBank genome assembly.
UAUUCUGCAUUUUCGUUUGUUUCUAGUGGCAAUAGUGCGAUAUUCUUAAGUAGAGUUUAAUUACCUCUGUACAAAUACUGAAAAUGCAGAAUAGUCACUAACUAAAAUCAAGUCAACAUUACGCAAAAUAUUUCGACAGACUUUGAUUUAUAGUCAGCAACUGAGGUAAGUUGCAAACGAUCUGCCAUAUUCUCUGAUUUGGGGAUUUACAGCAUCGCGUAAUAUAAUUUACUGUUUACUGCAGAAGCCAUAUUUCAACGUGAUAUGCAAAUUACGAAGGAAGUAGAAUAAUUCAUGUCCGUAAUUUCUGGCC